RNAcentral lists this transfer RNA (84 nucleotides) under Actinomycetota bacterium. RNAcentral describes it as "tRNA-Leu". It matches the Rfam family "tRNA". Rfam says of the family: Transfer RNA (tRNA) molecules are approximately 80 nucleotides in length. Their secondary structure includes four short double-helical elements and three loops (D, anti-codon, and T loops). The record is from RNAcentral. Lineage: Bacteria; Bacillati; Actinomycetota.
GCCGGGGUGGCGGAACUGGUAGACGCAGCCGGCUUAAAACCGGGAGUCCUUCGGGACGUGGGGGUUCGACUCCCUCCCCCGGCA